Molecule: ribosomal RNA, 468 nt
Filed under: uncultured bacterium
Lineage: Bacteria
Description: partial 16S ribosomal RNA
Rfam family: Bacterial small subunit ribosomal RNA
Source: RNAcentral
GACGAACGCUGGCGGCGUGCUUAACACAUGCAAGUCGAACGGAAAGGCCCUGCUUUUGUGGGGUGCUCGAGUGGCGAACGGGUGAGUAACACGUGAGUAACCUGCCCUUGACUUUGGGAUAACUUCAGGAAACUGGGGCUAAUACCGGAUAGGAGCUCCUGCUGCAUGGUGGGGGUUGGAAAGUUUCGGCGGUUGUGGAUGGACUCGCGGCUUAUCAGCUUGUUGGUGGGGUAGUGGCUUACCAAGGCUUUGACGGGUAGCCGGCCUGAGAGGGUGACCGGCCACAUGGGGACUGAGAGACGGCGCAGACUCCUACGGGAGGCAGCAGUGGGGAAUAUUGCACAAUGAGCGGAAGCCUGAUGCAGCAACGCCGCGUGCGGGAUGACGGCCUUCGGGUUGUAAACCGCUUUCGCCUGUGACGAAGCGUGAGUGACGGUAAUGGGUAAAGAAGCACCGGCUAACUACGUG